RNAcentral lists this ribosomal RNA (305 nucleotides) under uncultured bacterium. RNAcentral's name for it is "bacterial SSU rRNA". It matches the Rfam family "Bacterial small subunit ribosomal RNA", at positions 333 to 653 of the family's 1533-position model. The record is from RNAcentral.
UGAUUCCUACGGGGCGCAGCAGUGGGGGAUAUUGCACAAUGGGGGAAACCCUGAUGCAGCGACGCCGCGUGGGCGAAGAAGUAUUUCGGUAUGUAAAGCCCUAUCAGCAGGGAAGAAGAAAUGACGGUACCUGAAGAAGAAGCCCCGGCUAACUACGUGCCAGCAGCCGCGGUAAUACGUAGGGGGCAAGCGUUAUCCGGAUUUACUGGGUGUAAAGGGGGCGCAGACGGCGAUGCAAGCCAGGAGUGAAAGCCCGGGGCCCAACCCCGGGACUGCUCUUGGAACUGCGUGGCUGGAGUGCAGGG